RNAcentral lists this unclassified non-coding RNA (1048 nucleotides) under Bombus terrestris (buff-tailed bumblebee). Its description in RNAcentral is "misc RNA ENSBTSG00005034265.1". Lineage: Eukaryota; Metazoa; Arthropoda; Insecta; Hymenoptera; Apidae. The record is from RNAcentral.
GAAGCACUCGUUCGGCUUGGCGUCUCGACGAGUUCCGCUUUAAAGAUAACGAAGCGAGUUCUUCGCGGAAUAAAGGUACGUAAUCGCUGCGGCACCUGUCGAGUGUUUGUCGAGACUGUCUCAGCUAGGGCGACGGGAGCGACAGGUGGCUUCGUUCUCUCCUUUCCCUCUUUUCUCUCUCCCCCAGCCCACGUUGACCUCCCCCCUUUUCUUCUUCCCCUCAUACUUUCUGUCUCACGACACUGUGUCUACCUUUCUCGCGGUAUUACCCUCAUCCGUCUUUUUCUCCCGUCUCCCUAGCUUCCGAGGCCGCGACUCCACCACUCGCUCGGGGGUGUGAUUUAAAGUGUAAACUUAAAUAUUCCAGUCGGCGCCGCCGUGCAAAUAGAUUCGAUAUUAAUGGAGCUUCCACGUCUUGAAAACCGGGACCGAGGAGGUAAGAAAACUCGUGCGGACGAUUCACACCCUCCAUGCGAGAAAAUCAGGGUUUACUCUCUAGGACGCUUCUGGCGUUCUUUUUUUGUCGUACGGGGGAAAAUACGACGCUGACGGCUGCUGAGUGAUCCAUGGAUACCUCGAGGGAGAUUCCUCGGGAGUCUCCAAGUUUUUGUGCCAACCUACCGUCGUAAUCUAUGAAAUUUCUGAACGACCGACGGCUGCUGCUAAUGGCCGACGGAACUCGAGCCACGGACUUCUCACGGACAACGUAUAUAUACACCUAUUCGAUUCUUGAAUGUGUAACGCGUCUCUACACCCACGUCAGACACGUACAAAGGCGUUUUAGGGGUAAGGUGAUCGAGGGGUAAGCACGUGAGUAGAAGGUAUAGACGAGAACAAGAUGGGAACACAAACGACUGUGAGCGUUACGGAACGACUAACACCGAAAAGCUUCUUUCCGAGCGCACGGGUCUUGCCCUCGCGUCUCCAAGUUGUAGGCUAAAACUUUUAUGAUUUUGUUCGUGCCGGAUGUGCAGCUUGGAAUAAGCAGAGGAAAGCGAACUGCUAGAUGGACCGUAAGAAGUAAAGAAAGAAAGAUAGAAAGAGAAAA